Non-coding RNA from Pelobates cultripes (western spadefoot toad), 1247 nucleotides. NCBI's taxonomy places the organism in Eukaryota, Metazoa, Chordata, Amphibia, Anura, Pelobatidae. The record is from the annotation of a GenBank genome assembly.
GGCAUCUCUGACACCUACAGCAGAGGUGACAAAAUAUCGGACGCAACAUAUCUGCCAAUCGCUAUCCGCAGAGGAAACAGAAAUAUAAAAAAAGUCUCUUUGGACCGACUGCACGCCUGUUUGCAAGCCCAAAACAGUUCCACAGACUCAGGCUGUGCAGUCUGUCUAUUUCUGCCCUGAAAAAUGGCAAAGUCCCAUCCGAAGGUGGCGUUCCAAUCGUCAAGCGCACUUCGGUCGAAGUGAAACCGGGGUUGUGUUCCAGUGGUGUUCGAUGGUCUAUUUUACACCAGAGCGACUAAGUCCCAUUUGAACAGGUGUUCGAAUCUUCAAACGGGACUUAGUUUCCAGCCGCAGUGCCGAAGGGUAGGGGAAGGUACAGGUCAGCGGUGUUUGUUCCAAUGUGUGGCCAAUUUCCGUUCCAGGGAUUUGACAGCACACACCGCUGACCGCGUUCGACAGGAUUAAAAUGGCCACCGCUGUAUCACGAAGUGCCAUAUCAAACAUACUAAUCCUUUGUACAAAACAGUUAAAGGGCCAGACAUAAUCUUGGUUCUUUAGGCACAGGCAAUGUGGGUGAAGGUAAACCAAACACAACGGUAGCGGUUCCCAGGCAACAUGGUAGGGGGUUGUUACACCUGGUAUAUGUAAUCCUCAUUCGGUAGUUUCCUCCUGAACCGCCAGAGCGCCAGUGAAUAUAGCUCUCCGUUCGGUAGAUGAAAUAGACGAACUGUAUAGUAAUCCAAAUAGCUUCAGAAGAGAAUUCCCUUAAUAAAGCACACGAAGCCCCAAACAUCAGCCGAAGUCAAGAAGAAGGGUACAACUGAACUGAGCUUUAAUGAUCACACACAGGCUUUUAUGCAAGUCCCCAUGCAAGGGGACAUCCCACAGGGAGGGACAGAGUUUAACCAAUCCGGCACAGUAAAAACAUAAAACACACCAGGUACACACAUACAAUUCCCUCCCCUAGUCCUGUAGAUAAUCAAGUCUGAUAAAAUAAUAACUUUAUUAUCUCCAGGCAGAAAAAUCAAAAUUUUCCCCAAUAUCUGGAACACCCCUUUAUACAUGAGGUAUCCCCACAAAUAAUAUGUCACCUGAUAGCCCCGAUCUGGGUGACCAACAUAUUCAAAUUUCACCCAGAUCGGUUCAGGGGUUCUCAAAAAAGGUGGAAAUCCCUUCGGCUAACCGUGGGCUGGCUGCCCAAAAUAGUUCCAUGAGUUUGGGUGGUUUUGCCGGUCACUUCAGUAAAG